GCUGCCUGUAAUAACUCUUGCCUUUCUCCCUGUUGUUCUGACAGGCUUUCCUGCAGCCCAGAGGGAAUCAGGCGGCACUGGAGGCUGUACAAAAGGAAUUGUGCCAAGCUGACUCAAACUUGGACCUGCUCCUGUCGUAUGAGAGGGAUGGAAGAGCCCUGCAUCUAGUUCUUGAGGACAGGUCACAGGCACAUGAAGAGGGAGCAAAAGCAGUUCUGUGCCAAACGAAAAAGGUCUCAACCCACGAAAUGCUUAUGGGCUUAGCUGAGAAGUCUAAAAGGACACAGGCCCAGCGGGUGCUAAGGCUGAGCCGUAUUUGGGGAUGUAGAGCAUUUGUGGAAAUUAGAGCUUAAUGAUAUAUAUUAAGGACUGUUGUGGAACCAGCACAAUGAAAUAUUCAUCCCAUUCAUAAGAUUCAGAGUAAUAAAAUAAAAGUGCCCCAGGGAUCACCUGCAAUGGUUGGAGAAAUGUUAAUGGUGACUUUCGAUCUCAGGACCCACUCUGUAGUCUUAAAAUAGAACACCCUACAGGUAACAGUGAUCCUAUGAGAAAGGGCAAAGGGAAAGGGGCACAGGGUAGAGAUUCCUAAUACCUAGUAACAAAGCCCCAGCUGCCCCUGGGAUUAGAGGCAAGCACCAAGGUCAGGCCAUGGAUUUUAAAACAGAUGCGAAGAAGAUGAGGACCGCCAUUCCCCCAAGAUCCGAUAUGAAAAAAAGGAAAUGAUGUUUUCCUUCCUGGAUUUCUCCUUUCCUUUAUUUCCUUUAUGGCCUUCAUUGAGCAUUUAGAUUCCCUUUUCUCUGCUGAGGCUAUGAAAGCCUCUAUUUUUGUCAAAACUUUUUCUGUUUAUUCUAUCCUUUCUCUCUAGUUAGUCUUCAUGCUUGUAAACUAGGUGCCCUGGGCCUUCUUGGUCUGUAGACACAAGAGAUGUUUCAUUAACCCAGAGAGUUUAAGACUUCCUGUUCACAUGAGCCUCCAGCCCUCCUUUCGAAGAAUCAUGUGCUCAUGGACUUCUCUGUCAACCUUGUCACCUGCCACUUGAUGCCGGGCCACCCUGUCCAUAUUCUCUGCACGGGCAGAGGCUUUGGGAAGUCCUGCCAUUGCAAGGGCUACUCAGACUUUUCCUAAGGAUGAAAAUGUUCAGGCCCAUGUGCUGCUUCCAGAUGAUUUCCAAGCCUGCAGUCGUGAAGGUCCUGGAGAGGUUCAGGGUGGUGCCCCAAAACAGAAACGGUGGCCUGCCACGGUGCUGUGCCUCCCUUUUCCUCU
RNAcentral lists this long non-coding RNA (1263 nucleotides) under Ursus thibetanus thibetanus. RNAcentral describes it as "lncRNA (ENSUTTG00000009852.1)". The record is from RNAcentral. Lineage: Eukaryota; Metazoa; Chordata; Mammalia; Carnivora; Ursidae.